This 371-nucleotide ribosomal RNA is filed under the name uncultured bacterium. RNAcentral's name for it is "bacterial SSU rRNA". It matches the Rfam family "Bacterial small subunit ribosomal RNA", at positions 527 to 896 of the family's 1533-position model. The record is from RNAcentral.
GUAGGGGGCAAGCGUUGUCCGGAAUCAUUGGGCGUAAAGAGCGCGUAGGCGGUCCGGUAAGUCAGCUGUGAAAGUCAAGGGCUCAACCCUUGAAAGCCGGUUGAUACUGUCGGGCUAGAGUCCGGAAGAGGCGAGUGGAAUUCCCGGUGUAGCGGUGAAAUGCGCAGAUAUCGGGAGGAACACCAAUGGCGAAGGCAGCUCGCUGGGACGGUACUGACGCUGAGGCGCGAAAGCGUGGGGAGCAAACAGGAUUAGAUACCCUGGUAGUCCACGCCGUAAACGAUGGGCACUAGGUGUUGGGGGUGUCGACUCCCCCGGCGCCGUAGCUAACGCAUUAAGUGCCCCGCCUGGGGAGUACGGCCGCAAGGCUA